Molecule: ribosomal RNA, 440 nt
Filed under: uncultured bacterium
Lineage: Bacteria
Description: partial 16S ribosomal RNA
Rfam family: Bacterial small subunit ribosomal RNA
Source: RNAcentral
CCUACGGGAGGCAGCAGUGGGGGAUAUUGCACAAUGGCCGCAAGCCUGAUCCAGCGACGCCGCGUGAGCGAAGAAGGUUUUCGGUAUGUAAAGCUCUUUUAGCAGGGAAGAAAAUGACGGUACCUGACUAAGAAGCUCCGGCUAAAUACGUGCCAGCAGCCGCGGUAGUAUGUAUGGAGCAAGCGUUAUCCGGAUUUACGGGGUGUAAAGGGAGCGUAGGCGGCCAUGUAAGUCUGAUGGGAAAAUUUGGGGCUCAACCCCAAACGUGCAUGGGAAACCGGAGGGCUUGAGUGCCGGAGAGGCAAGCGGAAUUCCUAGGGUAGCGGUGAAAGGCGUAGAUAUUAGGAGGAACACCAGUGGCGAAGGCGGACUGCUGGACGGUAACUGACGCUGAGGCUCGAAAGCGUGGGGAGCAAACAGGAUUAGAUACCCGAGUAGUC